This 1436-nucleotide long non-coding RNA is filed under the name Marmota monax (woodchuck). The record is from RNAcentral. Lineage: Eukaryota; Metazoa; Chordata; Mammalia; Rodentia; Sciuridae.
ACUCUAUGAUGUCAUAUGUUUGGUAAAAUACAAAUCUAAAAAGUUAUAUCCCUUAGUGAUAUGUAUUAUGCAAUUUGACAAAAUUAGAUUGCUUAAUAUUUUAAUUAAGCUGUGUGUAUAUGUAACCAGAGAUCAAUCCAGAGCCUUGCAUUCUAAGCAUGUGUUCUACCACUGAGCUACACCCCCAGCCCACAAAGCUAUUUCUUCUGAGAUGUGUUUAAUAUCUUAUAUUUAAAUAAAAACACCAAAAGGUACAUCCUAGAGCCAGCCUAUACUGCAGUUCAAGUUGAAUUAUAUACUAAUCCUAUAGGAAUUCCAACUAUAUUUUUUUCCCAGAGAAACUAAACAAGAGUAAUUAUUCAAAGUAAUUUGGCAUUUGGGGAGGGUAUAAUUCCCUCUUUAUAUUAAAAAAUCUAUUGAAAAUAGAAGCAAAAGAGUUUAGAAUUUGCCUAGCCAAAUACAGAAUCCUUUGUAUUCAAGUAUCUACAGAAGCUUUAAAAUAAGAGUUAAAAGUAAAAACACACCUGUUUGUAUUAAGAUAGUUACCAAUAGGAUAAUUUAAGCUCUUUAUGCCAGGUCCUGUUUUAUGUGUACCAACACUUUUAAUCCUCACAAAGAGCCAGUGAAGGGCUGUUAUUCACAUUUUUGCAAAUGAGGAAACAGAUAAAGUAGUUAGUGUCUGAGACUACUCAGCUGUUAAGGGACAAGUCAGGAUUUGAAUUCAGUGUGGUUCUCACUCAAAGCAUAUGAAAUGAAAUGUUAAUAGAAGGUAAGGCAUUGUCAGUCAUUUAAGAAUUAUUUAUAGGCCAUCCUAGAAACCAUAGGCUAAAGAUUAUAUUUAGUUCAAUUGUCAGUCAUUGAUUUGAACCAGGAAGAAAAAAAAUUAAGGAAAAAUGUGGAAUAGCAUUAAUCGAAAAAUUUUGCAGUUUUGUGAUGCUAACUAAGGAUUGAUUUCUGGGCCUCACACAUGCUGCUCACUGAGCUACACCCACAGCCCCAAAAUUUAAAAAAAUAAAAUUGUAUAGAUAAAACAUUCAUGAUUCAAAAUUAAGAUUCUUCUCACAUUGUCCCAACUCUGACCCCAGCUACCCAUUUUUUUACCUAAUAACAACUGAUAUUGUAAUUUUGUGAUGUAUCCCUACAGAUAUUCGACAUCAAUAUUCUCACACACGUUUGUUACGUAUAUUUCCCCUCUUCUAUGAAUAUGGCAAAAUACUGCAUACAUUAAUAAAUUUCAUAAUUUACCUUUCAGUGUUGGGGAUCAAACUCAGGGCCUCAUGCUUGGGAGGCAAGUGCUCUCCACUGAGCAAAAUCUCUAAUCUCUGUCUCAUAAUUCAUAAAGUACACAAUUUCCGGAGUUUUGCAUUCACUUAAUAUUACUAAAUAUUUAAGAAGAUGUACAUUAUAAUGUUAUGCUUUGCCGCUAUUAAUGUUGG